RNAcentral lists this transfer RNA (71 nucleotides) under Jaminaea angkorensis. RNAcentral describes it as "tRNA-Thr". It matches the Rfam family "tRNA". Rfam says of the family: Transfer RNA (tRNA) molecules are approximately 80 nucleotides in length. The record is from RNAcentral. Lineage: Eukaryota; Fungi; Basidiomycota; Exobasidiomycetes; Microstromatales.
GUCGACUUAGUUUAAUGGUAGAAUAGGUAACUUGUAAUUACCGGAUACUAGUUCAAUUCUAGUAGUCGGCA